Vicia villosa (hairy vetch) is the source of this 3717-nucleotide long non-coding RNA. RefSeq lists it as uncharacterized. The record is from RefSeq and is a predicted model, not a curated record. NCBI's taxonomy places the organism in Eukaryota, Viridiplantae, Streptophyta, Magnoliopsida, Fabales, Fabaceae. The transcript is spliced from 8 exons.
UCAAUUCAUUUACGUUAAACUUCUAGCGGUUACGUCUCCUCAUUAUCUCCACCAUUACGAAACUGAUUUAUCAUUCAGCAACCACUUCCAAUCUUCUUCUUUUAAUUACAAAAGUGACAAAACUUACCACAAAUGGAGAGCUGUAUGCCCGAAUCGGAAGGAUUCUGAUUGAAGAUUUCCGUUGAGCUGUAUGUACGUGGCGCUCGGUGGAGGACGUCGGUUCUGGGUGGAUCGCGGCCGUAGCCGCUGAUGAUGGUGGUGGUCGGGUUAUCACGGUUUGAAGCGGCGUGCUGUGGAGGUUACGCCCGAUGUUUUGUCGGAAAUGUUGUUCUAAGAUGUGUGUAGCUCAGGACGCUAACGACAUUGACGAUGGCACCUUGGAGAUAGGGAUGGGUUUAUGCAUCACCAUUCCACAAUUGUGUUAAGGCUAUUGAACCGGUUUUGCUUUUAAGAUGUUGAAUAAAUAUACUGGAAGAACGACGGGCUGUGUCGAUCUUGGCCAGAAGGGUGAUGCUCGCGGUGAUUGGUUUCGCUUUUUGAUGACCCUUCACAGUGGUCGGGUUUGAUUAAACGGAUUUUCAAACAUCAAUCAAUUGGUUCCAGAUGAAUCCCAGCGAAAGCCUCCCUGUUUUCCAAAACGGGUCUCACAUCAUUUACAAGGAUAUUGAUAUAAUUCAGUAUGUUCCCUUCGAGUUUUCAUUCUGUCAUAAUUGCUUUCAAUAGAUGUUUAUAAUUUCAGAAACUUUAUUUUAAAUGCUUUUAUUAUAAAAGGACGUUUUAUAGGGUCGUGGAUUUUUCAGGUACAUAGAAAGAAUUGUUGUGGUCUCUGCAGGGUCUGAGGAUGUUAGUAGCAAUAGGAAGGAAGUGAUUGAAUGGAUGCAAAAGAUACAAUAAUGGAUUCCUAAAUAUUUUACUCUUUUGCAUAUACCAGACAAGUCCAAUCUCAAUUAAUGUUUGAUGGAUGUCAAGUGAGUGAAGUGAAUAUCUCUCUGGAUGAUAUUACUAUCUCCUUCAUUGGCGUAGGUUCUCCAUAAUGUAUUUCUUUAUUUAUAUUGGAUUAGUAUGCUUCUGUUGAGCCAUGGUCAAAAUACAUGUUUCACUUUUUUAUGUGAUUGCUAACUACGUAAUUUGCUUCCGUGUUCUGUACAUGUUGAGGUGUGUCGUGUAGAAUUGUUAGGUAGUAGAUAAAGUGUUGUUGUAGCACCGUGGUGCAUUGGAAUUUGGACUUGCUACUUUUUUUGUGUGACCAAGCCGAUGAAAUUGUUCUGGAUUCUCGAGUUUGGCAUAGAACUUCUGCUAUGGCUAAGUUUUGAAUUGUUGAAGGCGAUGAAGAGAUGGAGAUUGUUUGAUGACUUUCUGUGAAAUUGGAGAGUGAGUGAUGAAUGAAUGUUGAAGAAGAGAAGAGUUGAAGGUGAUUUUUGCAGCUUUAUAGGUUGAUUCAGUUGGGAGAAAUCAGUUAGAGAUUCAGUUACAAAUUGAAUGGAUGAGAUGGUUGAUUCGGUUAAGAGAGUUCUGUUAGUGAAUAUGCGAUUCAGUUUGUGGUGUGGUAAGAAUUUUAUGUGGUUUGACUUGAUGUUGGGGCAACUGCAGGAUUGAGGGCUUUGGCAGGGUAUGCUUCUGAUAGGAUCUUGCAAGCGGUAAAUAUUUCUUGGUGCGUGCAUACUCAACAUUCUAAUCCGUACUCAGGAUUCUAAUGUUGCUUGCCAUAGCCAUACUUCAAGCUGCGGUUGGAAGUCAAGCUAUCAUCACCGGAACUUUCUCGAUAAUCAAACAGUGUUCCUCUUUAAGAUGCUUCCCGAAAGUCAAAAUUGUUCACACGUCGUCCAAAAUACAUGGCCAGAUUUACACUCCUGAGAUUAACUGGAGUCUGAUGAUUCUUUUCUGUGCUGUUACAUUUGGUUUUCGAGAUACCGAACGCCUCAGAAAUGCUGCAGAAGAAGCAUAUGUUCCGGAGAAUGCAAACACUAUUAAACACCUGCAAGCUACUGCCAGAAAGGAAGUCCUCCCACUUUUUGGUCUUGAAAAGAUUUGGAAAAUCCUCAAAAUCUUCCAAAAUAGAGCAGCAACUAAUCAUGCGGCUAAGGAAAAGCAGAUGGAGGAGUGAGUCUUGGAUGUGCUGGCAACACAGGUGCUGCAGGGACAUAUUAUGAUGCUGUUCCUCGCAGUCUUACCAUUUGCAAUCAUAAUCUGUCCACACAAACUUAUACACUUAUAUUAGAGUUUCCUAAGGCGCCUCUUUGGACAAAUAUUUAUAUCUAGAAUCAGGCCAAGGCAUUGUUUCCUUUAUACUGGAGCCAUGUUCAGGUGAAGUUGUACAUGGUUCAGUUUGGUUCGAUAAAGAGCAUUCAAUUCUUUCUAUGUGAAGGAACUUGAUGAGGCUUUAAAAACGAUUGUCUUUAUAUACAUGACAGUUCCAACCAACCAGUGCAAGUGAGUUGAACUUGUGACCUUGAAGGUUGUUGUCACGAUUGUUGAGCGGUUGAAGUGAGGAAACCCGGCGGUGAUGUGAGGCAGAUAUUCACGGUUGUCGUGUUACAAUGUGGCUGUUUGCGUUGGUUCAGCAGCGAUGGUAUGAUGGAGGAGUAUUGUUGAUGCGGUUUUGAAUGGUUGAAAGGUGGGUAUUGUGUGAAUGGUUGUUGUUAAUAUGAUGAGGACAUAUUGCUAUUCAGCAAGCUAAGGACAGAUUGCUAACUGACAAUGCAGCCUUUGAAGUUAUAAUCAUGAAACUGAUCCCUAGAGUAUCAGUCAUGGAGAGCAUUGGUUCACUGAGAAUAACUGGAGCUUACAGGCUCAUGACACUUUUCAGUAUUUUACUGCUUCUGCCUCAAGUCAAGAUAGGCAGUAGUAGAUGUAACUUCUGCAGUUUCGUUCCGAGAAUGAUCAGUCCACGAAACAACAAGGUUGAGCUGUUGGUGACUCAAUAAAUGUUGAAGUCUCAAGGAAUAAAGAAUUUAGGCUGCCGUCCAUCUUGUGCAAUACGGUUUAUUUCUAUCAUGAAUUAAGUUAAUAGAUCCUAUGGUACUCAAAGGAACUCAUGUGCGAUCGAGGAAGAGUCUUCGAAGGUAGUUCUGAGAUGGAGGAGGGGUAUAUAUCUCAGUUGCUUCUGUUUGGUGCAAGAGAUGGUAACUCAGUAGAGUAAUUUAGAGGGUUCUGUAAGGCAUUGCCUUAGAUCCGUGAAAGUAUUUGUAACCAGUUACAAUUUGGUCAUAAUUUUCCGGCGUCAAUCUAUUAUGAGCAAGCUGUGAGUGUGGUUUCGCUGUAGAGGAAAAGUUGAGAAAAGAAAAACCGGAUCUUCGGAUAGAAAUGGUGAGGUGAUUACCAUGGUAGUAAGCAAAUGGAUGGUGGUUUUGGAAAGUUUCAUUUGAAUAGGCCAGUCCAAUUUCGAAAUACGGAGGCAUGCUAGAGGCUUUAAUAUCCGGUGGUUCUUAGAUCGAGAUUUCGUCACACAAGAACUUGCAUUGUUUAGCAGUAUGUAAUAAAACUUAUAUGUCUUUGAAUGCCCUGAUUGGCAUGUGUUGAAGGUUUUAAUGGAUGAUUAUUUAGAUUGCUUACGUGAUCCUGAAACCUUGGUUGUUGUUAAUUUCUGUAGCUUUUUCAAAUGUAAACUGAAAAGAAAAGGAUAGAAUUGGUGAGCGUAGUUUAAGUUGUUUCGGGAAUAUUCUUUACUUGUAUCUUGAAUAUUAUGAGUUGGAUAAUUUUUGUAUUCUUUUCAUGUUU